Long non-coding RNA from Papaver somniferum (opium poppy), 712 nucleotides. RefSeq lists it as uncharacterized. NCBI's taxonomy places the organism in Eukaryota, Viridiplantae, Streptophyta, Magnoliopsida, Ranunculales, Papaveraceae. The transcript is spliced from 2 exons. The record is from RefSeq and is a predicted model, not a curated record.
GAGAUGAAAUCUAACAAUACCUGGUUCGCCUCUUCCAUCUCUUAAACUUAUUUUCACCGCCGCACUUCUUUCUCUUUCACUCUUAUUAACCUUAUUAUUUUCUAUGCAACUGGUUGAAGAUGGAGAUUUAGUGUUUUUAUGAAGAUGAACAGUUAGAGAUGAUGUUGUUAUAAGUAUUUGUUUCUGUAUUCUGAAAAGCGUAAAGGGCAAGCUGGUUGUUAAACUGAUGAUUGAGACGCAAAAAAUCGCAUACAAUUUCAACAGAUGUUGAUAGAGGUGGUACUGGACCUCCGCUGCUAUGGUAGUUUUGGAGAUGUUGAUGGAGGUGGUAAUGGACUGCCGCUGCUUUGCUGGUUUUGAAGAUGGGGUGGGAAUUGCUGUUGCUGUACUGGUCCGCAUUCAGCACAUGACUGACAAUGGCUCCUAAAGGCUCACCAUUCCACAUCCAGGGGUCUAAAUGGUGCCCAUCUAUCUGAUUAACUAUGGUUUAAGUUACUUGGGUUAUAAGUGAAGGGUAUAUAAGUAAAAAAAUUGGGACCGUUUUUUUCAAAACUGUUAGAUCGGAUGGUAGAUGACCAUUUUGUAAAUCAAAUUCAAAAGUGUGAUCAUUUUGUAAACCAAAUUACAAAAGUAUGACUAAUUUGUAAUUGGCCUUUUUUAAAAAAAUUGGAAAAAUGGUAAUUAUUACAAGAGUUUACUAUCAUAGCCUUCA